RNAcentral lists this ribosomal RNA (452 nucleotides) under uncultured eukaryote. Its description in RNAcentral is "partial 18S ribosomal RNA". It matches the Rfam family "Eukaryotic small subunit ribosomal RNA", at positions 467 to 879 of the family's 1831-position model. The record is from RNAcentral.
GUAACAAAAAAUAACGACGACAUUUAAUUAGAGAAAUCUAUUAGUCGAUUGUCAUGAGUACAAUGCAAAUAAAUUAAUUAGAAUCAACUGGAGGCAAGUCUGGUGCCAGCAGCCGCGGUAAUCCAGCUCCAGUAGCGUAUAUUUAAGUUGUUAGUAAAUUAAAAAGCUCGUAGUUGAAAUAUGACCUUAUUAUUUGUUUCAAGUGAAAUAAAUUCAUUUGAAAUAAUUAAUAGGUCAUUAUGAGAACAAUUAAACACUUUUUAUAAUUGAAAGAUUAUAGAGAGAAACGUUUUUGUUCAUAUUACCAUAAGUAAAAUAGAGUGUUUAAAGCAGAACGUUUGUUCAUUGAAUAAUAGAGUAUGGGAUAAUAGAAGACGAAAGAGAUAUGAAGUGUUUUUCAAUUUUUAAUGAAAGUUAGGAUUGGUCAUAUUUCUUUAAUGAUUAAUAGGGAC